This is a long non-coding RNA of Lathyrus oleraceus (garden pea), 536 nucleotides long. RefSeq lists it as uncharacterized. The transcript has 3 exons. The record is from RefSeq and is a predicted model, not a curated record. Lineage: Eukaryota; Viridiplantae; Streptophyta; Magnoliopsida; Fabales; Fabaceae.
UUGAUGAUAUGACAUUUUGUCAUGUAUUUGUAAUUUUUUAAAUCUCAACAGCUCAUUGAUAAAGGGAUGUACGAAGAAUUGAUUCGAAUCUUUAUAAGGUAAAAAAAAUUGAUUACACUACUUACUAUUAAUUUUACUAUCCUGCCAUUUCCGUGUUUCAAUACAGCUUCAUCAGAUCUCUAUAACCGCGUUUCAUUCAUCCAGCUUCGACAACGAAGGAAAAACUUUAAGUUCAGUUCAUUCUUCCAACUAUGAAAAUGUUAAACAGUUUUUUCAUCCGAGUUUGGUGUGGUUAUGCAUUCAAUUUCGACUUGUUGUAUUUGGUUUUGUUCCCUGAUAAUGGACUCACUGUUUAUCACCUGCAAUUUUCAUCUCCGGACAAAAGCUUGAAAAUGGUAGAAGUCAAGUAGAAGCAUACUAUGAAAAUAUGUGAAAACAAGCUCAAAAUCGUCUUCAACAGUGUAUCUUUUGUAACUUUUGUAACGUUGUAUUACAUUAUCCAUAUUUAUGACAACAUUGUAUUAGUAUCUCUUUCA